CGAUGAGGAGAGCUGCAGUUUUUCUGGCAUGGUUGCACUGUCUGCUCUGCACGGGGGCUCAGGAUGAGGAUGGAGGGGGGACCGGGAAGAAAGAGGUCCAUCCUAAGGUGGCGUUCUCUGUCGGUAUUACUGAAGAGGGAAAUGUUGGACCCUUCAACACUGAUAUCACACUUAAGUAUAGUAAAGUCUUUACCGAUAUCAGCCAGGCCUACAGCACAACCACAGUUCAGUAAUGCUUUACUGUCAACAUUUCAAGCGGAUUCUGUAUCCAGGUCUUUCCUGCAAAACUUACCACAACCAUAAAUGAGUUUCAAAAAGAAAACAGGACUUCAUCUGAAACAGAUCAGAGGAUGAUUGGACCGGAUCCAAAGUGUGCUCACCCUGAACCGACCCAAACAGAGAGCAGCCAGCGGUGGCAGCAGCCUGAUGCAAACCCAACUAACAAGCAGCAACACGCCACAGAAGACAUCUGUAGAUGGCGUAUGUGGAUAUGUGAAUAUAUAAAAGCAUAUAUACACCAAGGUAACUAAGUACAUUUACUCAAGUACUGUACUUCAGAACAAUUUUGAGGUACUUCCAUGUGACGUUAUACUUUUACUUUGUUACAUUUUGGAGGCAAUUGUUUACUUUUUACUCGCCAACAUUAAUAAUAAAAAGAAUGCUGGCUACUUCGCAGCUAUGGAUUUGUAAUACAGAAUAUAGAUCAACUGAUAAAUCAAUAUGUACAAUCAUAUGUUGAGCUACCAAGCAGGAUAGCAAGUCCCUUUGAUAAUCCCCACCUAUACCAGGAUAAUUCAUAUUAAUGCAUUAAUAAUAAUUAUUGUACAAAAAUGUAACAUUACUAAAUCCGAUAUGGAAAAUGAGUACUUUUACUUGUUGUGCUUGAAGUAUAAAUUGAUGCCAAUUGUUUUGUACUCUUUCUUGAGGGCAAUUUUGAAUGCAGGACUUUUGUAACGGAGUAUGUUUAGAUUGUAGUAUUGCUACUUUUACUUAAGUAAGAGUACUUCUUCUUUAUUAUAUAUUUAUUUUUUGUCUUUGUAUAGCUUUAGUAUUAUUCUUUAUUAUUUUGUAUUUAUUUAUUUGUUGUUAAUUUAGUUUGGUACAUCACUCUCUUACAUUUUGUAAUAUAUCUGGUCUGUUCUAUUUAUGAAGGUGGUUUAAAUAUUGUACGCCUUCAAGUAAAGAUCAACUAUGUAUGGCUUGUCAAUUGAUAUACCAUAGUAGAGACUAAGCUGAUCCCUAGCAGCUUUGAGCUGUACUAAUAUGUAUA
Eleginops maclovinus (Patagonian blennie) is the source of this 1270-nucleotide long non-coding RNA. RefSeq lists it as uncharacterized. The record is from RefSeq and is a predicted model, not a curated record. The transcript is spliced from 3 exons. Lineage: Eukaryota; Metazoa; Chordata; Actinopteri; Perciformes; Eleginopidae.